RNAcentral lists this ribosomal RNA (101 nucleotides) under Burkholderiales bacterium. Lineage: Bacteria; Pseudomonadati; Pseudomonadota; Betaproteobacteria; Burkholderiales. The record is from RNAcentral.
AGCAAGGUGGUCCCACUCCUUCCCAUCCCGAACAGGACAGUGAAACGCCUUUGCGCCGAUGAUAGUGCGGACUCCCGUGUGAAAGUAGGACAUCGUCAGGC